This is a non-coding RNA of Acanthosepion pharaonis, 84 nucleotides long. The record is from the annotation of a GenBank genome assembly. NCBI's taxonomy places the organism in Eukaryota, Metazoa, Mollusca, Cephalopoda, Sepiida, Sepiidae.
CGAUUCCCUUACAACCACCGAAGUUAAGCAAUGUCGAGCCUGGUCAGUAUCUAGAUGGGCGACCACUUGGGAAGACUAGGUGCU